This 223-nucleotide ribosomal RNA is filed under the name Escherichia coli. Its description in RNAcentral is "partial 23S ribosomal RNA". It matches the Rfam family "Bacterial large subunit ribosomal RNA", at positions 2126 to 2348 of the family's 2925-position model. Lineage: Bacteria; Pseudomonadati; Pseudomonadota; Gammaproteobacteria; Enterobacterales; Enterobacteriaceae. The record is from RNAcentral.
GAGCCUUGAUGUGUAGGAUAGGUGGGAGGCUUUGAAGUGUGGACGCCAGUCUGCAUGGAGCCGACCUUGAAAUACCACCCUUUAAUGUUUGAUGUUCUAACGUGGACCCGUAAUCCGGGUUGCGGACAGUGUCUGGUGGGUAGUUUGACUGGGGCGGUCUCCUCCUAAAGAGUAACGGAGGAGCACGAAGGUUGGCUAAUCCUGGUCGGACAUCAGGAGGUUA